Molecule: microRNA precursor, 102 nt
Filed under: Pelobates cultripes (western spadefoot toad)
Lineage: Eukaryota; Metazoa; Chordata; Amphibia; Anura; Pelobatidae
Source: RNAcentral
CGGCACUCCAGAUGUUUUGGACUACACCUCCCAUGGUGCUUUUCCAGCAGUAUGGGUAUACGAGCAUUAUGGGGGAUGUAGUCCAAAACAUCUUGAGUGCCG